RNAcentral lists this long non-coding RNA (1435 nucleotides) under Olea europaea (common olive). Its description in RNAcentral is "long non-coding RNA (OEUR_LNC005177)". The record is from RNAcentral. Lineage: Eukaryota; Viridiplantae; Streptophyta; Magnoliopsida; Lamiales; Oleaceae.
ACAAGUUCACAGAGAAGCAGCCAUUAGGCACAGCGGCUCAAACAGACAAGGACUAUAAGGAGCCACCACCAGCACCUUUAUUUGAGCCUGGAGAAUUGACAUCAUGGUCCUUUUACAGGGCUGGAAUUGCAGAAUUCAUAGCCACUUUCUUGUUCUUGUACAUAUCUAUUUUGACUGUUAUGGGUGUUUUCAGUGCAAAGAACAAGUGUGCCUCUGUGGGCGUCCAGGGAAUUGCUUGGGCCUUUGGGGGUAUGAUCUUUGCACUUGUCUACUGUACUGCUGGUAUCUCAGGUCAGUCCCUAAAACCCCUUUCCUAUCUUUACUUUUAAUUUACCCUUUUUUUUUUUCAAAUUGCUUAAUUUUUCUUUUUCUUUUUUAUUUUUGGACUUCUCUCUGUAUAUCUUUUUUUUUAGUCCUUCUUUUUACGAUCUUUGACUCAAAAAAGUUCUUCAAUCGGUUUGUGGGUCUUUAGAGAUUCUUGAGGAAAUUUAUUCAGUUGAGUAGUAGUGAUUUGUGUGUUCCUUCUUUGUAUUGGAAAAUUUUGUGGCUUUUUAUUGUUCUGUUUAUCUGUAUAAGUGCUUAGUUUAACCACGGGCUAGCUACAUCGAUGAUAUUUGGAACUAAAGAUUGUAUCUUUGUGAUUUCUUGAAAUUUUUUUGACUUUUUUCAGUGUAAGCUGUUUGGCUAAGCUUAAAAUGUUUGCUUAUAAGCAAAUAAGUAUUAAAAUAAUUACUAGCUUAGUAAGGUAAAGUGUAUUAGGUAUAUACACUAACGUUUUUCUUCUACUUUGAUGGUAAGGUAAAAAUUGUUAUGACCAUGUUAACAAGGUUGAUCUUAUUAAGAGGAAUGACUCGAUAUCUAUCUAAGUUGGUCAAUAUUUCGAUAUUUAAUCAAUACGUGAUUUAUUCUCUUAACAUGCUCCCGCAAAAUAAUGGCUCUUUUUUAGCAGACCAAUUUUGAAAUUCGUGUUCUUAUUUUUGAGACUUAAUCGGAUCGAAUAGCUCGUUGGAGUUACUGGGCUCUGAUAUCGUGUUAACAACCUUACUAGGAGUGGCCCAAAAUCUAUUUAAGUUGGUCAAUAUUUCGGUAUUUAACCGACGUGUGAUUUAUUCCCUUAACAAAAAUUGUCAAAAUAUGUAAAAAAAUUUAUUUUUAUAGCUUAGCUAGACAUAAGUGAGGGAAAAGUAAGAUAUUGAAACAUUUUUGAAACGGAAAUUUACUUAUGAGCAACUUUUAAACUACUUUGAUGAAGCAUAUUUAAAUUUUUCUUGUUUGCAUGUUAAAACAGGAGGGCACAUCAACCCAGCUGUGACCUUUGGCUUGUUCUUGGCAAGGAAACUUUCUUUGAUCAGGGCUUUAUUUUACAUGGUGAUGCAGUGCCUGGGUGCCAUAUGUGGUGCUGGUGUUGUUAAGGGGUUCAUGAAGGGUCAAUACG